RNAcentral lists this long non-coding RNA (1087 nucleotides) under Cricetulus griseus (Chinese hamster). Its description in RNAcentral is "lncRNA (ENSCGRG00015033910.1)". The record is from RNAcentral. Lineage: Eukaryota; Metazoa; Chordata; Mammalia; Rodentia; Cricetidae.
CACACACACACGCGCACGCGUACAGCACUGCCUGGAUGCAGAGGUCAGAAAACAACUUGUGAGAGUCAGUCAGUUCUUUCCUUCCACCCUGUGGGACCUGACAGUUGAACUCAGGUCAUCAGGCUUAGUAGUUCAUGUCUCUACCCAUGGAGCAAUCCCCCAAGACUUUUGGCCUGCUUCCUUACAGAACACAGCACCACCAGCCCUGGGAUGGCACCACCCACAAUGAGUUGGGGCCUACUGAUCAAUCACUAAUGAAGAAAAUGCUUUAAAGUCUUGGCUACAGCCUGAUCUUAUGAAGACAUUUUCUCAGUUGAGGUUCCCUCCUCUUGGAUGACACCAGCUUGUGUCAAGUUGACAUCAAACUAUCCAGCACAGGGCCCAUGGAAGGAACAAACGGCAGACCUGAGUUAUCCUUAAUUCAGCAAGCAUGAGCUCCUAACAAGAGUCUACACGAGAUAAUAAACCUAAAAUUAAAAUGAAAACUCCUAUAAGUCAACAAAGGAGGAACCUUCGGUAACCUGCAAUGAUCUUUAAAAAUGCAAUAUAGAAGGCAAGAUUCAUGAAAGAAAAUCACCGAGAAGCUGCAAAAACAAUGUAAAGAAAAUAAGAAGGCUACCGAAGUGGCCAGUCUCACUGGCUGAUUCAGCAAGUGCGAGCCUCCACAGUGACAUUUCCUUCAACCAAACCACACCCACUCCAACGAGGCCACGCCUCCUAAUAGUACUGAAUGCUGCUACCUUUGGAGGCCAAUGCCUUUCAAUCCACCAUGUAGCCUAUCCAAAAGGAACUCUGCAACUGGCUUUAAAAGAGGAAAAUAGACCAAUAGACUGGGAGGUAACGAAGCACGCCUUUAGUUCCAGCACUCAGGAGGCAGAGGCAGGUGGAUCUCUGAGUUCCAGGCCAGCCUGGUCUACAGAGCGAGUUUAAGGACAGCCAGGGCUACAUAGAGAAACCCUGUCUCGAAAAACCAAAAGGAAAAUUUUCUUCUAUUUGUUGAUAAUAAAACCACUUAUCAUUGAGAACUUUUCAGAGUCUGUGUAGAGUCCAAAGGACCUAAAAGGUGACCCGUUUCUUUUCAUUUGUG